UUAAGUGACGAUAGCCUAGGAGAUACACCUGUACCCAUGCCGAACACAGAAGUUAAGCCCUAGAACGCCGGAAGUAGUUGGGGGUU
This 86-nucleotide ribosomal RNA is filed under the name Streptococcus pneumoniae. RNAcentral also lists the same sequence under 2 other names. Lineage: Bacteria; Bacillati; Bacillota; Bacilli; Lactobacillales; Streptococcaceae. The record is from RNAcentral.